RNAcentral lists this transfer RNA (65 nucleotides) under Ptiliidae sp. BMNH 1274724. Its description in RNAcentral is "tRNA-Gly". Lineage: Eukaryota; Metazoa; Arthropoda; Insecta; Coleoptera; Ptiliidae. The record is from RNAcentral.
AUUUAUAUAGUAUAAUUUAAAUAUAUUUAACUUCCAAUUAAAAGUUCUAUAAAAUAGUAUAAAUA